CCGGCGCACGGGUGAGUAACACGUAUGCAACUUACCUAUCAGAGGGGGAUAACCCGGCGAAAGUCGGACUAAUACCGCAUGAAGCAGGGGCCCCGCAUGGGGAUAUUUGCUAAAGAUUCAUCGCUGAUAGAUAGGCAUGCGUUCCAUUAGGCAGUUGGCGGGGUAACGGCCCACCAAACCGACGAUGGAUAGGGGUUCUGAGAGGAAGGUCCCCCACAUUGGAACUGAGACACGGUCCAA
RNAcentral lists this ribosomal RNA (240 nucleotides) under uncultured bacterium. Its description in RNAcentral is "partial 16S ribosomal RNA". It matches the Rfam family "Bacterial small subunit ribosomal RNA", at positions 95 to 334 of the family's 1533-position model. The record is from RNAcentral.